This 806-nucleotide long non-coding RNA is filed under the name Setaria italica (foxtail millet). RNAcentral's name for it is "long non-coding RNA (SITA_LNC005517)". Lineage: Eukaryota; Viridiplantae; Streptophyta; Magnoliopsida; Poales; Poaceae. The record is from RNAcentral.
UGGCGGCGUAGCGGGCGAGCCCCCAUGCGGCCUCCUUGACGGCGAGCUCGGAUGGCCCGUUGGGGAUGCUGACGACGGUGCGCCACUUGGCGAAUCGGGCGCCCUGCUGGUAGUAGGCGGCCUCGCGGGCGGCGAGGCCGUCGAGGCCCUGGCACCAGGACUCGUCGUUGGAGCCGGCGAGCGGGACGAGGCCCUUGUCGACCUUGAUCCCGGGCACGAUGCCCUGCUCGGUGAGGAUGUCGACGAUCCGGCGGCCGUCGACGGCGGACUGGUAGAGCGUCUCCUCGAAAAGGAUGGCGCCGGAGAUGUAGUUGCCCAGCCCCGGCGCGGUGACCAGCAGCGUCCUGUACGCCUGCCGGUUGGCCUCCGUGUUCUCCAGCCCGAUGGAUGCCAGCCGCUUCCCGCACGUCGCGUUCGACUCGUCCAUGGCCAGGAUGCCGCGCCCAGGCGACGCGAUCGUUUUCUGCAACUCACCAUGUCAUCAUUAUUUCUUUCAGCAAGCAAGAUGGCGAUAGUGACAGUUUCGAUCGGCCACUAGUGAAGAAACGACGAACGCACCGCUGUCUUGACGAGCUCAUCGGCGUAGGCGCUGGCGCGGACGACCACGGAGACGGUGACCGGCCGGGGCGCGGUGAGCUGCCUGGCGGCGCCCCAUUCCGACUUCUUGGGAAGGAAGGAGGACUUGAGCAGGGUAGCAGAGGCCAUCUUCUUCUUCCUCGAUGCUCUUGCUGUCUUCUGAAGUUCAGCUCAGCUCAGGCUGGCAGUGGCCUCAGGUUCACACCAGUGAACAACGAAUGGAGUGUCUC